This is a long non-coding RNA of Saimiri boliviensis boliviensis (Bolivian squirrel monkey), 141 nucleotides long. RefSeq lists it as uncharacterized. Lineage: Eukaryota; Metazoa; Chordata; Mammalia; Primates; Cebidae. The record is from RefSeq and is a predicted model, not a curated record.
CGCUCCCAGCCCGCCCGCCGGCCGCGCCCUCGUGUCUGAGCUGCAGUUUCGGCGGCGCCCAGGUACUCGACCACUUCAGAUGGGGUUACAUCCUGAUAAACCACUAAUCCUGAAAAUUCUGCGUAUACGGGUCUGCACACA